RNAcentral lists this ribosomal RNA (403 nucleotides) under uncultured prokaryote. Its description in RNAcentral is "bacterial SSU rRNA". It matches the Rfam family "Bacterial small subunit ribosomal RNA", at positions 355 to 774 of the family's 1533-position model. The record is from RNAcentral.
UAGGGAAUAUUGGACAAUGGGCGAAAGCCUGAUCCAGCAACGCCGCGUGCGCGAUGACGGCCUUCGGGUUGUAAAGCGCUUUUAGAGGAGAUGAGAAAGGACAGUAUCCUCUGAAUAAGCCUCGGCGAACUACGUGCCAGCAGCCGCGGUAAAACGUAGGAGGCUAGCGUUAUCCGGAUUUAUUGGGCGUAAAGCGCGUGCAGGCGGUCUGGUAAGUUGGAUGUGAAAGCUCCUGGCUUAACUGGGAGAGGUCGUUCAAAACUGCUAGACUAGAGAAUGGGAGAGGGAGGUGGAAUUCCGGGUGUAGUGGUGAAAUGCGUAGAUAUCCGGAGGAACACCAGUGGCGAAAGCGGCCUCCUAGACCAUUUCUAACGCUAAGACGCGAAAGCUAGGGUAGCAAACG